GUGUCCACUCCCAGGUUCAGCCUCAGCAGUUUGGAGCUGAGCUGAUGAGGCCUGGGGCUUCAGUGAAGUUGUCCUGCAAGGCUUUUGGCUACACCUUCACUGACUAUGUUAUAAACUGGGUGAAGCAGAGGCCUGGACAGUGCCUGGAAUGGACUGGAUGGAUUUAUCCUUACAAUGAUGAAACUAAGUACAAUGAAAAGUUCAUAGGAAAGGCCAUGUUGACUGCAGACAAAUCCUCCAGCACAGCUUACAUAGAGCUCAGCAGCCUGACAUGUGAGGAUUCUGCAGUCUAUUACUGUGCAAGACACAGUGUUGAAACCAUGUCCCGAGCAGUUAUCAGUGGCUGUGGUACUGAGGCAGUGGAAGAGCAGCCUGACUUCUAUGCAGGACUCGAUUUAAUUCAGGAAUCUUCCCAACAUAAUCUCAGAGCUGAAAUCCGUGUUGGAGGAACGGGAACUGCAAGAGAUGGUUCCAACUGA
This is a non-coding RNA of Grammomys surdaster, 479 nucleotides long. The record is from the annotation of a RefSeq genome assembly. NCBI's taxonomy places the organism in Eukaryota, Metazoa, Chordata, Mammalia, Rodentia, Muridae.